UUCGUCAGAAAACGCCUAAAAUUGUCUCUCCGUUGUCUCCAACCACAAAGUUUUCUUCACUGCUUUCAACUUCUGACUUUGCAAGAAGUAAUAAAGAAAGGGACAAAAUAAGAUUGGGCUGCCUAGAUUAACAUUGAUGGUUCCUUCCAGGUAAUUUAAUACAUAAUUUAACAUGCAUGAACACAGAAUCUGUCACAGUGACAGUUUCAGUACAUAUUCUUAUAAAAUCAUCAACAAAUAGCAAUAGGCCUUAAUUUAAUUUGGGUAUUUUUAUACAUAUAGUAUACAUAUUAAAAUACCCUAAUAAGCAUUCAAUUGAUCAAAAUAUCAUCAAACCUUCAAUCACUAAAACAGAAUCUUAAUUCAGCCUAUAAAAUCAGGAUAGAAGAUAAAGAAAUAGAAAUAAACAAAUGAAGGUUUGAUUACUUACCCACAAACUUGGAAGCUGAAAUUUUAUUGUUAACCCUUUAAUUUCUUCUUUAGAGAGGAAUAUAUUGUGUUGGUGAGAAAGGGAGGGCUGCCGUGUAGAAGCAACAGAAGAAGAGAGAAAGAAGAACAAAGAAAGAGGAAAAGGAGUAGAGAGAGAGGGGCUGGACUUCUGAUCUGAU
Long non-coding RNA from Quercus lobata, 608 nucleotides. RefSeq lists it as uncharacterized. Lineage: Eukaryota; Viridiplantae; Streptophyta; Magnoliopsida; Fagales; Fagaceae. The record is from RefSeq and is a predicted model, not a curated record. The transcript has 2 exons.